RNAcentral lists this ribosomal RNA (492 nucleotides) under uncultured bacterium. Its description in RNAcentral is "partial 16S ribosomal RNA". It matches the Rfam family "Bacterial small subunit ribosomal RNA", at positions 29 to 507 of the family's 1533-position model. The record is from RNAcentral.
AGUGAACGCUGGCGGUAGGCCUAACACAUGCAAGUCGAACGGCAGCACAGUAAGAGCUUGCUCUUACGGUUGGCGAGUGGCGGACGGGUGAGGAAUACAUCGGAAUCUACUUUUUCGUGGGGAAUAACGUAGGGAAACUUACGCUAAUACCGCAUACGACCUACCGGUGAAAGCAGUGGAUCUUCGGACCUUGCGCGAUUGAAUUAGCCGAUGUCGGAUUAGCUAGUUGGCUGGGUAAAGGCCCACCAAGGCGACGAUCCGUAGCUGGUCUGAGAGGAUGAUCCGCCACACUGGAACUGAGACACGGUCCAGACUCCUACGGGAGGCAGCAGUGGGGAAUAUUGGACAAUGGGCGCAAGCCUGAUCCAGCCAUACCGCGUGGGUGAAGAAGGCCUUCGGGUUGUAAAGCCCUUUUGUUGGGAAAGAAAAGCAGCAGGUUAAUACCCCGCCGUUCUGACGGUACCCAAAGAAUAAGCACCGGCUAACUUCGUG